RNAcentral lists this ribosomal RNA (119 nucleotides) under Gossypium arboreum. The record is from RNAcentral. RNAcentral also lists the same sequence under 2 other names. Lineage: Eukaryota; Viridiplantae; Streptophyta; Magnoliopsida; Malvales; Malvaceae.
GGGUGCGAUCAUACCAGCACUAAUGCACCGGAUCCCAUCAGAACUCCGCAGUUAAGCAUGCUUGGGCGAGAGUAGUACUAGGAUGGGUGACCUCCUGGGAAGUCCUCGUGUUGCACCCC